RNAcentral lists this ribosomal RNA (253 nucleotides) under uncultured bacterium. RNAcentral describes it as "partial 16S ribosomal RNA". It matches the Rfam family "Bacterial small subunit ribosomal RNA", at positions 524 to 776 of the family's 1533-position model. The record is from RNAcentral.
UACGAAGGUGGCAAGCGUUACUCGGAAUUACUAGGCGUAAAGGGCAGGUAGGUGGUUUGAUAAGUCUGUUGUGAAAGCUCCCGGCUCAACUGGGAGAGGCCAACAGAAACUAUCAGGCUUGAGUAUGGGAGAGGUUACUGGAAUUCCCGGUGUAGCGGUGAAAUGCGCAGAGAUCGGGAGGAACACCAAUGGCGAAAGCAGGUAACUGGACCAUUACUGACACUCAACUGCGAAAGCUAGGGGAGCAAACAGG